GACGAACGCUGGCGGCGUGCUUAACACAUGCAAGUCGAACGGAAAGGCCCUGCUUUUGUGGGGUGCUCGAGUGGCGAACGGGGGAGUAACACGUGAGUGACCUGCACUUGACUUUGGGAUAACUUCAGGAGACUGGGGCUAAUACCGGAGAGGAGCUCCUGCUGCGUAGUGGGGUAUGGAAAGUUUCGGCGGUUGGGGAUGGACUCGCGGCUUAUCAGCUUGUUGGUGGGGUAGUGGAGUACCAAGGCUUUGACGGGUAGCCGGCCUGAGAGGGUGACCGGCCACAUUGGGACUGAGAUACGGCGCAGAAGCCUACGGGAGGCAGCAGUGGGGAAUAUUGCACAAUGGGCGGAAGCCUGAUGCAGCAACGCCGCGUGCGUGAUGACGGCCUUCGGGUUGUAAACCGCUUUCGCCUGUGACGAAGCGUGAGUGACGGUAAUGGGUAAAGAAGCACCGGCUAACUACGUG
This 468-nucleotide ribosomal RNA is filed under the name uncultured bacterium. RNAcentral describes it as "partial 16S ribosomal RNA". It matches the Rfam family "Bacterial small subunit ribosomal RNA", at positions 28 to 507 of the family's 1533-position model. The record is from RNAcentral.